Molecule: long non-coding RNA, 570 nt
Organism: Limanda limanda (common dab)
Lineage: Eukaryota; Metazoa; Chordata; Actinopteri; Pleuronectiformes; Pleuronectidae
Exons: 3
Source: RefSeq, a predicted model, not a curated record
CAGUCAGCUGCUGACUUCUUUGUCAACGGCAGAUUGGCGACUGCCCUGGACCAGUUUGCUGAUGGGUUAAAAACCCUUGGAUUACUCAAAGAGAUGAGGGAGAAUCCGGCCGUGUUCUUCAACUUCUUUGUCAAUGAGGAAAUUCCCCUUCAGGCGAAGGACCUGUGCAAGUUAUUUGUUCCAGACUUCUCAGCGCAGGGCAGCAACCGGAGAAACCGAGAAAAUAUGACAAUCUGCUUCUGGCGUGACUGGUUGAUUGACAUAGAAGAAGGAGAAUGCAGUCCAGUCACCCUUGAGAGGGUUUUGGAAUUUUCGUCUGGAGCCUCUGUAGUCCCUCCACUGGGAUUUCCACACCCUCCUCAAAUACAGUUCAUUCAUGAAGAGAACCGAAUCUUCCCUGAAGCAAACACGUGUAUUGUUACACUAUGCCUGCCGCUGCACUCUUCUUAUGAAUGGUUUAAAAAACAUAUGAUGGAGGGAAUUUUGCAAGCGCCGACCUUUGGUCUUGCAUAAUGUUACCGUGUUUGUUUUUAAAAUUGUUCAGUGCAGGUUGUUAGAGGGCAUGCCUCU